ACCAUCCUUUUCUUGGGGUUGCGCUACUGUCCAAUGAACGCCUAGUGAGGACAGUACUGCUAACGCCUACACAACACGCCCGCACCGGCGGAGCUCGCUCCUGCUGGGUGCAAUUUUUGGAAAA
Ochotona princeps (American pika) is the source of this 124-nucleotide small nuclear RNA. RefSeq annotates it as U4atac minor spliceosomal RNA. NCBI's taxonomy places the organism in Eukaryota, Metazoa, Chordata, Mammalia, Lagomorpha, Ochotonidae. The transcript has a single exon. The record is from RefSeq and is a predicted model, not a curated record.